UUUAAUUACAUGAGAGAGGAAAUCUUUUCAGAAAAUAUCAUUUGAUGCAGUUUUUGGCAACGAUCUUACUUAGAAUGCAGUUUUCUGCAACGAUCUUAUUUAGAGUAGUGAAUAUCUAAUAGCAUUGUGAAGUUCUUCAAAUAUUGAGCUAAAUAGGUAUUGUUGAGGAAGAUCCUAACUGGAGCCCAGAAUGACUUAGAGAAAGUGACCAAGACGACCUGUGCCCAAGUUGCAGUCUAUGGUUUCGGAGAUAAGGUGGGGUCUUCUUUCUUUUCCUCAAAGGGAUGAUGCAUUUAAGAUGACUAAAACCUGCAGCAGCAAGACUGGUUAGCUCGAUAUUUGACAGAGAAGUUACAGGAUGGAUGGCUAAGGUUUACAACAGUACUGAUUAGCUGAUAGUGGAGCACAAAGAGGCACGUAUCCGAGAUUGCAAAACUGUUUGUUUGAAAAGGAGGUCUUUCAUCAAGGUGACUUGUGAGUAUUAGGAGAGCGACCAUUGAAGUCAAAAACGCCCACAGAUUAUGAUAGGUUUAGGCAAGGGUUCCAAGAAAAUAAUGAGGCUAAGGGAACUACAAGGAACGGAUCCAGGGAACUCAACAGUGCAGCUUCAUCCCGCCUGCCCUCAAGGAGUGGACUCCUUUUUCCAGCGUGUGUGUGAAGGCAUAGGUGAUCACGCUGCCCACGUGCAUUUCUUGUUACACUACAUGACAUGUUAAGGUCCCUAAAAAGUGAUUGGUGUGGUCAUUAAAUUACUCUUAAAUCAAACUCAACCGUACUGACUACAGAGAAUAUGUGGAGAGCAAAUAUGUGGUGCAGGCAUAUAAUUCCAUGCAUAAAGGUCUCUGUCACACAAAAUGGGGCCCUAAAAGGCGAAGCUGUGAUUUUCUGUACAACCCAACAAAACUCACACUGCUUGUAAUCCUAUUUCGUCCUGGCCUCCAAUUUUAGAAUACUUCAGUCUUCAUUGCAUGAUAAUGUAUCCUACUCAUCAGGGGAGGGGAGGCUGCAAAUGAAGUUGAGGACAGGUGGGUGUGUGUGAAGCUGAGUGGAUUUUUGAUGCAAUGUAAAUGUCUCUUUGGGUCAUUGAAUCUGACCACAUUAAUCUCUAUUUUUGUUUUCUUUCUUUCUUUCUUUCUUUUUUUAAUAUUAUCUGAUUUUUUUAAUAUUGGGUUUUUAAUGAGGGAGAAUUAUGUUUAGGACUCUUUUUUU
Long non-coding RNA from Carya illinoinensis, 1209 nucleotides. RefSeq lists it as uncharacterized. The record is from RefSeq and is a predicted model, not a curated record. Lineage: Eukaryota; Viridiplantae; Streptophyta; Magnoliopsida; Fagales; Juglandaceae. The transcript has 3 exons.